This 2566-nucleotide ribosomal RNA is filed under the name Trichinella zimbabwensis. RNAcentral's name for it is "eukaryotic LSU rRNA". The stretch from base 928 to 2566 matches the Rfam family "Eukaryotic large subunit ribosomal RNA". The record is from RNAcentral. Lineage: Eukaryota; Metazoa; Nematoda; Enoplea; Trichinellida; Trichinellidae.
UGCUAAAGCAAGGUCCAAAGAGAUCUACAUUGCGAUGCUGGACCUCGCCAAGGCCUUCGACUCGGUGCCGCACGAACGAAUUAUUAGAGCCCUUCGGCGGAAAAACGUGCAUCCCGCUUCAAUCGACCUAAUUGCUAACAUGUUGACGGGCACAACUUAUGCCGAAAUCAAAGGGCUGAAAGGGAACACGGUCCAAAUCUGCAACGGUGUCAGGCAAGGCGACCCCUUGUCGCCCCUAUUAUUCUGCCUAUUCCUGGACGAAAUGAUAGUGCGGCUACAAGAGAGUGGCCCGGCCUUCGACUUCAAGGGCAGAAAGAUAAGUGCGCUUGCAUUCGCCGACGACAUGACGCUGCUAGCUGACAGCGCAGCCGGGCUUAAAAUCCUGCUCAAAGUAGCAAGCGACUUCUUGGCUGAAUCCGGGAUGAUGCUGAACGCGGAUAAAUGCCUCACACUCAGCAUCUGCAGGUCUCCAAAGACCAAAAAGAUGUUUUCCAACCCGGUCAUAACAUUCAGCGUCGCAGACAGUCGAACUGGACAGACGGAUAGAAUGGAGAAGGACGCUUCAUGCUAGACGUGGAGCCGUGGUAGGAACUACAUCAUGGCAGUGAAAUUUCGAUCAAACACUGCAGCCACCCGGGCCGAGAACAACAGAGGCCGCACCGGCAUCAUAGAAUUCCGAGUUUGCAAAGGGGCCAAAGAAACACUGGCACACAUCUGCCAAAAGUGUCCGUCCAGUCAAAGCUUGGUUAUCCAGCGUCAUAACGCCAUCGUGGAUUUCCUAGAACAAGUGGCGCUACGCGACGGCUUCCAAGUGACAAAAGAGCCCAAGCUGCCAACCCCCGCCGGCGCUCUCAAGCAUGACCUCCUGCUCAUCAAGGCGAACACUGCAUUCAUUGUGGACGUUGGUGUAGCGUGGGAAGGAAGGCGCCCGCUCAAGCUAGUCAGCAAAAACAAGGUUGAAAACUACAAAGUUGCCAUUCCGGCCUUGUUGGAAAUCUGCAGAGUUGACCAUGCCGAAAGCCAUGGCGUUAUCUUGGGAAGCCGCGGUUGUUGGCUGAAGACCAACGACAAAACGUUGUCAACAAUCGGGCUCAAAGUCACACGCAGGAUGAAAGAACGCCUUAGCUGGUUGACAUUUGAACAUUCAAUCAGAAUUUACAACACCAUGAGAAACUGAUUGCUCAGUAUGUUCCGUUCAGUUACUGUCUACUUAUCACUGUUAAACAUGUUAACUAUUACUGUUGAUUUAUUGUUACCACGUUCGUUGUUUUCUAAGCACUCUGUUACCAUCGCUUUUACAUUUCAUUAUUACGGUAUUAUUAUUCCUUCUGCCUGCAAUUUCCAUCGUUGUUGCUUUUUUCUUGUUUUUAUUGCUUCGCUGUGCUUGUUUGUUUGUUUGUUAUUGUUCUUGUUUGGCCUAGGAUAUCGAUAAUCACACGCACCGCGGAACUGGACCGUAUAAGCCAGAAAUAUUAAAGUAACAAUAGCCAAAUGCCUAGUCAUUUAUUUAGUGACGCGUAUGAAUGGAUCAACAAGAUUCCUUCUGUCCCUAUCUACUAUCUAGCGAAACCACAGCCAAGGGAACGGGCUUGGCAAAAUCAGCGGGGAAAGAAGACCCUGUUGAGCUUGACUCUAGUCUGACUCUGUGAAGAGACAUGAAAGGUGUAGCAUAGGUGGGAGGCUGCAGUAGGGCGCUGUUUGGUGUCUCUGUGGUCGCCAAUGAAAUACCACUACUUUGAUCGUUUCUUUACUUAUUCGGUAAAGCGAAAAAAUUGUGGCCAAUUUGGCGGUCUGUCCGCUGUUGGUCAUUGUUUUAAUGUUGGAUUGAAGCUUUGUUUAUAGCCGUCGCUUUGCGUCGCCGUUUGAUGCAUUGGCUGGGUGCGUUUUUGCGCGCGCGCGGUAAUGUUGUCAGCGGAUGAUCGGCGAUUGGUUUGAAGUGAUUCGCUCCGGAAACAGUGUCAGACGGGGAGUUUGACUGGGGCGGUACAUCUGUUAAACGAUAACGCAGGUGUCCUAAGGUAAGCUCAGCGAGGACAGAAACCUCGCCUAGAGUAAACGGGCACAAGCUUACUUGAUUUUGAUUUCCAGUACGAAUAAAAACCGCGAAAGCGUGGCCUAUCGAUCCUUUUGAUUGUGUAGAUUUCAUGCAAGAGGUGUCAGAAAAGUUACCACAGGGAUAACUGGCUUGUGGCAGCCAAGCGUCCAUAGCGACGUUGCUUUUUGAUCCUUCGAUGUCGGCUCUUCCUAUCAUUGCGAAGCAGAAUUCGCCAAGCGUUGGAUUGUUCACCCACCAAUAGGGAACGUGAGCUGGGUUUAGACCGUCGUGAGACAGGUUAGUUUUACCCUACUGAUGACAAGUCGUUGCGAUAGUAAUCCUGCUCAGUACGAGAGGAACCGCGGGAUCAGACAUUUGGUUCAUGCGCUCGGCUGAAAGGCCGGUGGCGCGAAGCUAGCAUCUGCAAGAUUAUGACUGAACGCCUCUAAGUCAGAAUCUUUUCUAGUCAUUGGCAACGAUAAGUUGCGUCCGGACUCGAUGCGAGGAAACGAUUAGGCUUUGCUGUGUUUU